Molecule: ribosomal RNA, 468 nt
Filed under: uncultured bacterium
Lineage: Bacteria
Description: partial 16S ribosomal RNA
Rfam family: Bacterial small subunit ribosomal RNA
Source: RNAcentral
GACGAACGCUGGCGGCGUGCUUAACACAUGCAAGUCGAACGGAAAGGCCCUGCUUUUGUGGGGUGCUCGAGUGGCGAACGGGUGAGUAACACGUGAGUAACCUGCCCUUGACUUUGGGAUAACUUCAGGAAACUGGGGCUAAUACCGGAUAGGAGCUCCUGCUGCAUGGUGGGGGUUGGAAAUUUUCGGCGGUUGGGGAUGGACUGGCGGCUUAUCAGCUUGUUGGUGGGGUAGUGGCUUACCAAGGCUUUGACGGGUAGCCGGCCUGAGAGGGUGACCGGCCACAUUGGGACUGAGAUACGGCCCAGACUCCUACGGGAGGCAGCAGUGGGGAAUAUUGCACAAUGGGCGGAAGCCUGAUGCAGCAACGCCGCGUGCGGGAUGACGGCCUUCGGGUUGUAAACCGCUUUCGCCUGUGACGAAGCGUGAGUGACGGUAAUGGGUAAAGAAGCACCGGCUAACUACGUG